RNAcentral lists this ribosomal RNA (497 nucleotides) under uncultured bacterium. Its description in RNAcentral is "partial 16S ribosomal RNA". It matches the Rfam family "Bacterial small subunit ribosomal RNA", at positions 28 to 507 of the family's 1533-position model. The record is from RNAcentral.
GAUGAACGCUGGCGGCGUGCCUAAUACAUGCAAGUCGAGCGAACGAACGAGAAGCUUGCUUCUCUGAUGUUAGCGGCGGACGGGUGAGUAACACGUGGAUAACCUACCUAUAAGACUGGGAUAACUUCGGGAAACCGGAGCUAAUACCGGAUAAUAUUUUGAACCGCAUGGUUCAAAAGUGAAAGACGGUCUUGCUGUCACUUAUAGAUGGAUCCGCGCUGCAUUAGCUAGUUGGUAAGGUAACGGCUUACCAAGGCAACGAUGCAUAGCCGACCUGAGAGGGGGAUCGGCCACACUGGAACUGAGACACGGUCCAGACUCCUACGGGAGGCAGCAGUAGGGAAUCUUCCGCAAUGGGCGAAAGCCUGACGGAGCAACGCCGCGUGAGUGAUGAAGGUCUUCGGAUCGUAAAACUCUGUUAUUAGGGAAGAACAUAUGUGUAAGUAACUGUGCACAUCUUGACGGUACCUAAUCAGAAAGCCACGGCUAACUACGUG